Long non-coding RNA from Glycine soja, 720 nucleotides. RefSeq lists it as uncharacterized. The record is from RefSeq and is a predicted model, not a curated record. The transcript has 2 exons. NCBI's taxonomy places the organism in Eukaryota, Viridiplantae, Streptophyta, Magnoliopsida, Fabales, Fabaceae.
UCAAGUUUGUGACAAAACCCGAAAAACGCGUAAUUGUCCCUUAAAUUGCAUAUCCCGAAUCCUAAUCGCAUGCGAUCCAUUCUUACAAACAAAGCCGUAGUUUAGUUGGAAAGGGUCUUUUUCUUUCCUACUUGGAAGGUUUCUUCUUCGUAUUUCUCGUAAAACUCUCAACCUCAAAGGAAAAAAGAAAAGGCAUUUAGUUAUAUGGAUAACAAAUCACCAAGCAAGGAGUCCAAGGAGGAGACACGUGAGUCGCUUAUCGCUAUCUCUAACUCUUUACCUGAUAAAACUCUGGAAUCAAAGUCUGCCUUGGAGAGCAAGAAAUCAGAUGGGGUUGCGAUGCAAAACCGUGAUCAAGAUGACAAGUUUAGGUCUGAACUGAUUUCAAUUUCUUAUGCUGAAUCCCCUGAUGAAAAAAUUUGAUCAGUUUCAAUGGUAAACUAGUUCAUGUGUAACUCCUGGAUUAUCGUUUGGUUGAUCUUUCUCUAUGUCAAUGUUGUGACUUGACUGUUUAUAUACUGUCUCAGCUAUCGUGCAACUCUAUGUAAAUACUUUCACCGGCUACAUGCUUGGGUCAUAUGUUGUAACGACCGUGACAACUGACAAGUGUGUUGUCUAAGUACUAUGUUAAUUCAUGUGAGAUACUUGAAAGUUCAAAGCGUAGUACAUUUUCAUAUGUUAAAUAACGCAGUGUUUUGGCCUCCUCUUUACUGUUAUUAA